UUCUGGAAACGAAUGAACCUUGAAAAUAGGCCUUGCCCCGGAUGAAAAUAACCCCCGACUUGUUACACCUCAUAAGAGGCAAACCCAAAACUAACGCAGAAGCAGAGGUCGACCUCCAUAAGAACCUCGUUUUCACUCCUGUUCAUCCAAAGAUCUGCAUCUCCCUUCUCCAUCUUCGUCUCCAGUUGACGGUGCGGGAACUGCAAACGGAAAUCCAGCUACUGCAACUCUCCUUCGCUGUGCACAGAGCGAUCUCUGCAAACGAUCUUGACUACCAGGCGAGCUCCUUCGGUGUAGUGAACAAAUUUCAGAGUUCGUCUCCCACAUUCGAAGCUUCUCAUGGAAUUCUCGCUGCCAUUACUGAAACCCCUAGAGGAUGCUUGCAGAGGAGGUAGAAGGACUAGGAGAGUGUGCCUGCACUAGUAUCUUUGCUGGCGAUCAUGAAAUUCAGAAUUAUGUCCUUGAGAUAUCAGUCAUCCUCUGUUUAUCUUUCUUGCUCUCCAUCAGAAACCUUGAAACAUCUGUUUCCUCUUGUGGCUGAUUACUCCAAGCACAAAAUAGAGUUGCUGGUGGAAGACAGUACCCAUUACAGGAGGGUACUGAGGAUGAUUCAGUGACUUACCCAUGAAGGUUUUUAGUAGCGAACACAGAAGCAUAUGAGAACAAGGCAGAAUGAAACCAUUGCAGCACUCACAAUUCCAGAUAAUUAAUCCAUCACUUCAAGUAACUGAUGGUGGGAAAUCAUCAGAGAGAUUGUGAGCAAAGGAGACGGACACAGAGUGUUAAAUUGGUUCUUUCUAGCUAUUAAAAAGAAACAGUUUAUUUACUUCUCUCUCAUUCUCUGCCAAAACUUGAACCUGUAACCAUAGAUGUAUUUUAUGAAGCAUCUUCUUAACUUAAUGCAGAGAAAUCUUGAUGUGGGACAUAAUAGAUAUAUUUUAUGAAGCAUCAUCUUGACGAAUGCA
Molecule: long non-coding RNA, 965 nt
Organism: Macadamia integrifolia
Lineage: Eukaryota; Viridiplantae; Streptophyta; Magnoliopsida; Proteales; Proteaceae
Exons: 3
Source: RefSeq, a predicted model, not a curated record